UACGUAGGGGGCUAGCGUUGUCCGGAUUUAUUGGGCGUAAAGAGCGUGUAGGCGGCCAGGUAGGUCGGUUGUGAAAACUGGAGGCUCAACCUUCAGAGGUCGACCGAAACCAUCUGGCUAGAGUCCGGGAGAGGAGAGUGGAAUUCCUGGUGUAGCGGUGAAAUGCGCAGAUAUCAGGAAGAACACCCGUGGCGAAAGCGGCUCGCUGGAACGGUACUGACGCUGAGACGCGAAAGCGUGGGGAGCGAACAGG
Molecule: ribosomal RNA, 253 nt
Filed under: uncultured bacterium
Lineage: Bacteria
Description: partial 16S ribosomal RNA
Rfam family: Bacterial small subunit ribosomal RNA
Source: RNAcentral